This 86-nucleotide non-coding RNA is filed under the name Dehalobacter sp. RNAcentral describes it as "c-di-GMP sequence". It matches the Rfam family "c-di-GMP-I riboswitch aptamer". Rfam says of the family: GEMM was predicted in a large-scale screen for bacterial structured RNA regulatory elements. Genes associated with GEMM are involved in a diverse array of functions, including chemotaxis regulation, signal transduction, secretion and chitin. The record is from RNAcentral. Lineage: Bacteria; Bacillati; Bacillota; Clostridia; Eubacteriales; Desulfitobacteriaceae.
CAACGACAAUGGCAAACUUGGUGAAAGCCAGGGACGCAAAGCUAUGGGUCUUCCAGAAUAAUUCUGAUGACUGCCAGGCCACCGAA